Podarcis lilfordi (Lilford's wall lizard) is the source of this 203-nucleotide non-coding RNA. NCBI's taxonomy places the organism in Eukaryota, Metazoa, Chordata, Lepidosauria, Squamata, Lacertidae. The record is from the annotation of a GenBank genome assembly.
AGGAGCUCACCAAGACAGUAGCUAAAUUCCUCUAUUUGAUUUUUUUUUGUUGCCGAAGUAUGCUACAGGAUCCUGCCCUUGCUGGAGACCCACAGAGAUGAAAUAGAUUGCUCGCCUCUUCUUCCCUUUGGCAAAUGACUGUACUGUUGAAAUGGCGAUGAGAUCGCACUGGCCUAUUUAUUCUGAAUGUUUGUAUGUGAUGC